RNAcentral lists this small nuclear RNA (22 nucleotides) under Arabidopsis thaliana (thale cress). RNAcentral's name for it is "snRNA_08433". Lineage: Eukaryota; Viridiplantae; Streptophyta; Magnoliopsida; Brassicales; Brassicaceae. The record is from RNAcentral.
AGAUAUUGAAGGUGUCUAUUAA